GUCCACGCCCUAAACGAUGGGCACUAGGUGUGGGAGGUAUCGACCCCUUCCGUGCCGCAGCUAACGCAUUAAGUGCCCCGCCUGGGGAGUACGGCCGCAAGGUUGAAACUCAAAGGAAUUGACGGGGCCCGCACAAGCGGUGGUGCAUGUGGUUUAAUUCGACGCAACGCGAAGAACCUUACCUGGGCUUGACAUCCCUGGAACCUCCUGGAAACAGGGGGGUGCCCGCAAGGGAGCCAGGAGACAGGUGCUGCAUGGCUGUCGU
This 265-nucleotide ribosomal RNA is filed under the name uncultured bacterium. Its description in RNAcentral is "partial 16S ribosomal RNA". It matches the Rfam family "Bacterial small subunit ribosomal RNA", at positions 793 to 1055 of the family's 1533-position model. The record is from RNAcentral.